Molecule: ribosomal RNA, 253 nt
Filed under: uncultured bacterium
Lineage: Bacteria
Description: partial 16S ribosomal RNA
Rfam family: Bacterial small subunit ribosomal RNA
Source: RNAcentral
UACGGGGGGGGCAAGCGUUGUUCGGAAUUACUGGGCGUAAAGGGCUCGUAGGCGGCCAACUAAGUCAGGCGUGAAAUCCCCAGGCUCAACCUGGGAACUGCGUCUGAUACUGGAUGGCUUGAAUCCGGGAGAGGGAUGCGGAAUUCCAGGUGUAGCGGUGAAAUGCGUAGAUAUCUGGAGGAACACCGGUGGCGAAGGCGGCAUCCUGGACCGGCAUUGACGCUGAGGCGCGAAAGCUAGGGGAGCAAACGGG